CAGUAGCCGCGGGAAUACGAAGGGGGCUAGCGUUGCUCGGAAUGACUGGGCGUAAAGGGCGCGUAGGCGGAUUGUUUAGUUAGGCGUGAAAUUCCUGGGCUUAACCUGGGGACUGCGCUUAAUACAGGCAGUCUAGAGUGAGGAAGAGGGUUGUGGAAUUCCCAGUGUAGAGGUGAAAUUCGUAGAUAUUGGGAAGAACACCGGUGGCGAAGGCGGCAACCUGGUCCUUGACUGACGCUGAGGCGCGAAAGCGUGGGGAGCAAACAGGAUUAGAGACCCCUGUAGUCCCUGUCUCUUAUAC
This 301-nucleotide ribosomal RNA is filed under the name uncultured bacterium. RNAcentral describes it as "partial 16S ribosomal RNA". It matches the Rfam family "Bacterial small subunit ribosomal RNA", at positions 509 to 807 of the family's 1533-position model. The record is from RNAcentral.